UAGGGAAUAUUGGACAAUGGGGGCAACCCUGAUCCAGCCAUGCCGCGUGAGUGAAGAAGGCCCUCGGGUUGUAAAGCUCUUUUGUCCGGAAAGAAAAGCUUCGGGUUAAUACCCCGGGGUUCUGACGGUACCGGAAGAAUAAGCACCGGCUAACUUCGUGCCAGCAGCCGCGGUAAUACGAAGGGUGCAAGCGUUACUCGGAAUUACUGGGCGUAAAGCGUGCGUAGGUGGUUGUUGAAGUCUGAUGUGAAAGCCCUGGGCUCAACCUGGGAAUGGCAUUGGAAACUGGGCAGCUAGAGUGCGGUAGAGGGUAGUGGAAUUCCCGGUGUAGCAGUCAAAUGCGUAGAGAUCGGGAGGAACAUCUGUGGCGAAGGCGACUGCCUGGACCAGCACUGACACUGAGGCACGAAAGCGUGGGGAGCAAACA
Molecule: ribosomal RNA, 427 nt
Filed under: uncultured bacterium
Lineage: Bacteria
Description: bacterial SSU rRNA
Rfam family: Bacterial small subunit ribosomal RNA
Source: RNAcentral